UGGGGAAUAUUGCACAAUGGGCGCAAGCCUGAUGCAGCCAUGCCGCGUGUGUGAAGAAGGCCUUCGGGUUGUAAAGCACUUUCAGCGGGGAGGAAGGCGUUAAGGUUAAUAACCUUGGCGAUUGACGUUACCCGCAGAAGAAGCACCGGCUAACUCCGUGCCAGCAGCCGCGGUAAUACGGAGGGUGCAAGCGUUAAUCGGAAUUACUGGGGGUAAAGCGGACGCAGGCGGUCUGUCAAGUCGGAUGUGUAAUCCCCGGGCUCAACCUGGGAACUGCAUUCGUAACUGGCAGGGUAGAGUCUUGUAGAGGGGGGUAGAAUUCCAGGUGUAGCGGUGAAAUGCGUAGAGGUCUAGAGGAAUACCGGUGGGGAAGGCGGCCCCCUGGACAGAGACUGACGCUCAGGUGCGAAAGCGUGGGGAGCAAACAGG
RNAcentral lists this ribosomal RNA (429 nucleotides) under Chloroflexota bacterium. Its description in RNAcentral is "Chloroflexi bacterium partial 16S ribosomal RNA". It matches the Rfam family "Bacterial small subunit ribosomal RNA", at positions 355 to 776 of the family's 1533-position model. Lineage: Bacteria; Bacillati; Chloroflexota. The record is from RNAcentral.